RNAcentral lists this non-coding RNA (30 nucleotides) under Homo sapiens (human). Lineage: Eukaryota; Metazoa; Chordata; Mammalia; Primates; Hominidae. The record is from RNAcentral.
UCCACUGUCCAAGAAGGUUCGAGGCCUCAU